Molecule: ribosomal RNA, 515 nt
Filed under: uncultured bacterium
Lineage: Bacteria
Description: partial 16S ribosomal RNA
Rfam family: Bacterial small subunit ribosomal RNA
Source: RNAcentral
GAUGAACGCUGGCGGCGUGCCUAAUACAUGCAAGUCGAACGCAUUGAGAGAAGUGCUUGCACUUUUCAAUUUGAGUGGCGAACGGGUGAGUAACACGUGGCAACCUACCUGAUAGCGGGGGAUAACGAGUGGAAACAUUCGCUAAUACCGCAUAACAAUAGAGAAGGCAUCUUCUUUAUUUAAAAGGCGCUUUCAAGCGUCACUAUCAGAUGGGCCCGCGGUGCAUUAGUUAGUUGGUGGGGUGAAGGCCUACCAAGACGAUGAUGCAUAGCCGAGUGGAGAGACUGCUCGGCCACAUUGGGACUGAGACACGGCCCAAACUCCUACGGGAGGCUGCAGUAGGGAAUCUUCCACAAGGGACGAAAGUCUGAUGGAGCAACGCCGCGUGUGUGAUGAAGGCUUUCGGGUCGUAAAGCACUGUUGUAUGGGAAGAAAUGCUAGGCUAGGAAAUGAGCUUAGUUUGACGGUACCAUACCAGAAAGGGACGGCUAAAUACGUGCCAGCCGCCGCCGUAA